This 484-nucleotide ribosomal RNA is filed under the name uncultured bacterium. RNAcentral describes it as "partial 16S ribosomal RNA". It matches the Rfam family "Bacterial small subunit ribosomal RNA", at positions 30 to 507 of the family's 1533-position model. The record is from RNAcentral.
AUUGAACGCUAGCGGGAUGCUUUACACAUGCAAGUCGAACGGCAGCGCGGACUUCGGUCUGGCGGCGAGUGGCGAACGGGUGAGUAAUGUAUCGGAACGUGCCCAGUAGCGGGGGAUAACUACGCGAAAGCGUAGCUAAUACCGCAUACGCCCUACGGGGGAAAGCAGGGGAUCGUAAGACCUUGCACUAUUGGAGCGGCCGAUAUCGGAUUAGCUAGUUGGUGAGGUAACGGCUCACCAAGGCGACGAUCCGUAGCUGGUUUGAGAGGACGACCAGCCACACUGGGACUGAGACACGGCCCAGACUCCUACAGGAGGCAGCAGUGGGGAAUUUUGGACAAUGGGGGCAACCCUGAUCCAGCCAUCCCGCGUGUGCGAUGAAGGCCUUCGGGUUGUAAAGCACUUUUGGCAGGAAAGAAACGUCGCGGGCUAAUACCCCGUGGAACUGACGGUACCUGCAGAAUAAGCACCGGCUAACUACGUG